Oreochromis aureus is the source of this 861-nucleotide long non-coding RNA. RefSeq lists it as uncharacterized. Lineage: Eukaryota; Metazoa; Chordata; Actinopteri; Cichliformes; Cichlidae. The record is from RefSeq and is a predicted model, not a curated record. The transcript is spliced from 2 exons.
CCCUAGUGAUGUGUUAAGAUGUCUGUGAAAACAUUUGUGAGUUCCACAGCAUAGUCCGUCAGUGCUCGUCCAAGGAUGUUAUCAGGACCUGGAGCUUUGCGUGUACUGAUUUUGGCAAGGGAUCUCCACACACUGUCUGGGGAUUUGUUCACCACAGUCUGCAGAGUGGGCUUGUAGUCUGUGAUGGUUUGUAUUCCUUGCCACUGCCUCCAAGUAUCUCUGCUGUCGCUGAAGCUUUGCUGUAGCUGAUGCCACGUGACAGGUUUGCCCUUGCUGUUUUUUGGCUCACCUAAUUCCCGGCUCUGAAGGCUUGCAUUUUUCAACCUUAGGAGCAUUUAAACCUGACCUGUGAGCCAUGGUUUCUGAUUGGCCCGGACAGUGAUAGUCCUGGUGUCACGACCUGCAGGAUCGGCAAGGUGCUGAUCAGAAUCUCUCCACUCCUAGCCCUCCUUCUCUUCUCUUUUUCCUUCUCUCUCCCCCUCUCUCCUUCUCUCCCCUGUUUUGCCGGAACUCAUGGCGGCUUCACGCCCUUGGUCCACGCCUUCCUGGAUUGGGAACACCUGGGCCUCAUCAGACCAGCUGGUAUAUUAAAAGGAGGAGAUCAGCUGUUCAACGCUGGAUUGUUGUGAAGGCUCUAAUUCCCCGGACCCGUCCCCGUGUUUCCCCGUGUGGAGUGUGGAAGGAGUGACUGGUCGCUAGCGGAGAAGAGAGAGGCUGAACUGAGCGCGUGUGUGAUUUCCCCCGUUUUCCCUGGAGCCCUGGACCCCUGCCCCUCACGUCUUGUAUAUAGCACUAACCCCUCACUGUCUGUACAUACACUUGGUGAAGAUCUGUAAAUAAACCGUCUCUGUUUAAACGCUA